This 468-nucleotide ribosomal RNA is filed under the name uncultured bacterium. RNAcentral's name for it is "partial 16S ribosomal RNA". It matches the Rfam family "Bacterial small subunit ribosomal RNA", at positions 28 to 507 of the family's 1533-position model. The record is from RNAcentral.
GAUGAACGCUGGCGGCGUGCUUAACACAUGCAAGUCGAACGGUGAAGGCGGAGCUUGCUCUGCUGGAUCAGUGGCGAACGGGUGAGUAACACGUGAGCAAUCUGCCCCUGACUCUGGGAUAAGCGCUGGAAACGGCGUCUAAUACUGGAUACGAGCUGCGAAGGCAUCUUCAGCAGCUGGAAAGAAGUUCGGUCAGGGAUGAGCUCGCGGCCUAUCAGCUUGUUGGUGAGGUAAUGGCUCACCAAGGCGUCGACGGGUAGCCGGCCUGAGAGGGUGACCGGCCACACUGGGACUGAGACACGGCCCAGACUCCUACGGGAGGCAGCAGUGGGGAAUAUUGCACAAUGGGCGAAAGCCUGAUGCAGCAACGCCGCGUGAGGGAGGACGGCCUUCGGGUUGUAAACCUCUUUUAGCAGGGAAGAAGCGAAAGUGACGGUACCUGCAGAAAAAGCGCCGGCUAACUACGUG